CAUACCAUAUUGGUCGACCGGUGUAUGGAACGGCAAAUACUUUGCCUCAAUUCCAGAGAUGACAGCCGCAGCAGACUGUUUAAUUCAACAUUUGUCGACAAUGGCAAAGAGAAGUACUUGUUACAUGACUUAGUCGAUGAAAAUAUGGUAACUCGUAAUGUAAUUGACAUUUCCGGUCAGUCACGGCAGUUCAUUUGGUUCGAAGGCUCAAAGGAUUGGACAAUGAUCUAUGCUCAACCAAAAUCUCAAUGUGAUGUCUAUGCAAUUUGUGGACCUUUCACAAUUUGCAACGAUAAUGCCCUUCCACACUGCAAUUGUAUGGAGGGCUUCGCCAUAACAUCCCCCAAGGAUUGGGAACUAGAAGAUCGAGCGGGUGGGUGCUCAAGAAAAACUCAGUUAGACUGCAUUAGCAACAAAAGCACAACACAUACCACAGACAAGUUCUACUCUAUGCCAUGUCUUAGGUUACCCCAAAAUGUCCCAAAAGUAGAAGCUGCUACAAGUGCGAACAAGUGUGAAGAAGUUUGCCUGAAUAAUUGCUCUUGCACCACCUACUCCUUCGGCGACAGCAGAUGUUCUAUCUGGAAUAACGAAUUGCUCAACAUAAGACAACUACAAUGUAAUGACACUACCAAUUCAAAUGGAGAAACUCUUUACCUUCGACUUUCUGCUAAAGGUGUUCACAGCUUGAAAAGCAGCAAAAGAGGGAUUGCCAUUGGAGUUGUAACUGGCACAUGCAUUUCUGUU
This 747-nucleotide long non-coding RNA is filed under the name Brachypodium distachyon (stiff brome). RNAcentral describes it as "long non-coding RNA (BDIS_LNC000524)". Lineage: Eukaryota; Viridiplantae; Streptophyta; Magnoliopsida; Poales; Poaceae. The record is from RNAcentral.